RNAcentral lists this ribosomal RNA (254 nucleotides) under uncultured bacterium. RNAcentral's name for it is "partial 16S ribosomal RNA". It matches the Rfam family "Bacterial small subunit ribosomal RNA", at positions 524 to 776 of the family's 1533-position model. The record is from RNAcentral.
UACGUAGGGUGCGAGCGUUGUCCGGAAUUAUUGGGCGUAAAGAGCUCGUAGGCGGUGUGUCGCGUCGGCCGUGAAAACCUGGGGCUUAACUCUGGGCGUGCGGUCGAUACGGGCAUCACUAGAGUUCGGCAGGGGAGACUGGAAUUCCUGGUGUAGCGGUGAAAUGCGCAGAUAUCAGGAGGAACACCGGUGGCGAAGGCGGGUCUCUGGGCCGAUACUGACGCUGAGGAGCGAAAGCAUGGGUAGCGAAUAGG